RNAcentral lists this long non-coding RNA (3989 nucleotides) under Olea europaea (common olive). RNAcentral describes it as "long non-coding RNA (OEUR_LNC010284)". Lineage: Eukaryota; Viridiplantae; Streptophyta; Magnoliopsida; Lamiales; Oleaceae. The record is from RNAcentral.
UGACAUUAAAAGUUGCACGUAGGUCCACUGUGGUUUUUCCAAUAUGAAUUAUUCCCUCGUUAGUAAGUGACUACUUCACCAGAUUGUAUUUUAGUAACCUUGGAGUUUUUCCCUUGAGAAAAAUAGGAACUGGUUUCCAAAACUAAUGAACCACUAAAUAUUUGCACAGCUAGGUGUACAUAAAUAUACAGAGUGAAAUUGAAACACACACAGACACUGAUCUCACAAGUUGUCAAACUAUCUUACACGCAUUACACAGAUUACAAGGGAUCCUCAUCCCAAACUCCAAAGGUACAAGAACAGUCAUAAAUUAAAGGCAGAUUCUCAUAGUUGUCAGAAAUAACACGAAGAUUCUCAUGAAUGUCUAUAUACGCAGUUGUACAACCACAAAUAAGCAAAAAGUUUUGCUCCUGUAGUACACAGACGUAAAAUAAUUCAUACACAUUUAAUUCGCCAAUAUAUUAAUACCCACACAAGCACAUCGAACUUCAAACCCAGCAGAAAAAUAAAAAGUUGGUAAUACAUUUGAUAGCAUAAUGUAAAUGCAAAUAUAUGAGCAUCUAAGUGUCUACGGAUUCGUGUGUCAAGCAGUGUUAUUGACCAGACUGACCACACCGGUCGGUUCAUCUGGAUCCACGUGAUAGUAUCGACAACUCAGUGCUCUUAAAAUUCUGUAAUUAGCGUCCAAACAAGAACUCCAUUUCCAGAAAUAACAGGAGCAAUUAUAAUUUUGAAUGAUACAACACAGGCAAAAAUGGAAGCAUGUUUAAUCAUGCUGUUUACUUUGAAAUGGAAAACAGAAAAAACCGAAUGAAAGUUCCCCGGUGCAGUGCCAAUUAAGAUCAUUCUAAUGUUUUCAUUGAAGAAGCUGCGUAAGAGUUUGUUUAAUAUUGACAGUAGAUUUAUCUCAAAUUCACAAACUCACAAACUGAAGAAAACAUGUAAACCAGGAAAAUGAAAGAUGGAGAGAAAAGAGAUAAGAAAUCAACACAACCUUACAAAUAGGACCGUCUCUGACAUUAAAAGUUGCACGUAGGUCCACUGUGAUUUUUCCAAUAUGAAUUAUUCCCUCGUUAGUAAGUGACUACUUCACCAGAUUGUAUUUUAGUAACCUCGGAGUUUUUCCCUUGAGAAAAAUAGGAACUGGUUUCCGAAACUAAUGAACCACUAAAUAUGAAUAUACAAGCAGUGAAAUAUAUUUGCACAGCUAGGUGUACAUAAAUAUACAGAGUGAAAUUGAAACACGCACACACUGAUCUCACAUGUUGUCAAACUAUCUUACACGCAUUACACAGAUUACAAGGGAUCCUCAUCCCAAACUCCAAAGGUACUAGAACAGUCAUAAAUUAAAGGCAGAUUCUCAUAGUUGUCAGAAAUAACACGAAGAUUCUCAUGAAUGUCUAUAUACGCAGUUGUACAACCACAAAUAAGCAAAAAGUUUUGCUCCUGUAGUACACAGACGUAAAAUAAUUCACACACAUUUAAUUCGCCAAUAUAUUAAUACCCACACAAGCACAUUGAACUUCAAACCCAGCAGAAAAAUAAAAAGUCGGUAAUAUAUUUGAUAGCAUAAUGUAUAUGCAAAUAUAUGAGCAUCUAUGUGUAUACGGAUUCGUGUGUCAAGCAGCAUUAUUGACCAGACUGAUCAGACUGGUCGGUUCAUCUGGAAAAAAUAAGAACUAAUCCUAUUAUAGGCAGAAAUUAGCAACCUUUUGAACUCACCCAAGUUAAUUUCAAGCAGUGUUUUUGGGUAAAAACCAUGUUAAUUUCAUUCUAAUAUUUUCAUUUUCCAAGGUUGAGUUCCAUUUUUUUAGAUUGGAACCUGAACUUUGUCCAGGAAAGGGAACUCCUUUGUCACCGAUUUUUAGAACAGCUCCAGUGGCUCAUUUAUGCUAAGUCUAGUCACUUGGGCUGCUGUACCUUUUGAUUAUGGUAUUAUAUUGUCAGAUCCAUACAUAGGCAUAAUCUCUGAUGCUUGGACUCUUCGACAUGGUUGUAGUACCCGUGUCAGACAUGACAUGGGUAUGGAUAUGUGUCCGAUCCUCCAACUUUUAACCGGACACUUCACCAUUCUUUGCUUCUUUUUCUUUUCCUUUUCUUUCAUUUUUACUCUUUAUAAACCUAGCGCCACCUCCAAGAGGGUGAAGAAAGGCAACGACACUAGAUUUUCCCUUCUUAUUUCUUUUGCUUUCCCUUUUCUUUUUUUUCCCCUUCUUUCCUCUCUCUGUAUCGGUGGUUUAGAAUUUUGUUUGUAUAAAAUGAAAAUGAAUUUCACAUAAUACUAUAUAACGCUCCACCAGAUCCAAAUUGUUUUCAAGUCCUUCAUUUUCUAUUUUAUAUAACAUUUAGUAAUUAACUUCUCAUAAUUGAAAAUUAAACCCCAAAAUUAUAUUUUAUUCGUCUUAACCCCUUAUUCAAUAUUAUUUCCUUCUUUGUGAACAAUUGAUUGUUGGUCUAUUCAAAAUAACAUCUUGAGUUAGUAAAAAAUUUGAAGUUUGAAAGAUGUAUCCACGUACCCGUGUCCAAAAUUUAGAUUCUUUUUAAGCGUAGUUCAAAGAAAUUCUAUUUGCCUAAUAUAUCCAUCAGUAUAUAUUGUUUUGUUGCUUACGGUUGCACUCAUGCCAUGCACACUAAUAUUCUUAAAAUUUCUAAUUAAUCUUUGAAAAUGCAGUGGGAUCACAAUCUUGUGAGCCUGACAAUCUACAUUUUUUGACCGUAGAGAGACUGCGUGCUCUUCUGAAGGAGAAAGGCCUUCCUGUGAGGGGGAGAAAGGCAAGUACCUUGUUAUUUCUAUUGUAGCCAUAAUAGUUCAUACGUAAGUUUAAUGUUGCAAUACCUCUGAUUACGGUAUUAAUUAUUAUUUUUCCAGACUAAUCAACAGAUUCGAUUUAGUUUUGAGAUUAGCAUGCAUAGGUUGAUUCUACUGUAUAUCCAUUCAGUUUUGAGGGUACUCAUGUUUGCAUUUCCAUGGACAGGAUGUGUUGAUUUCCCGCUUGAGAGCUGCGAAUGGCUAAGAUGCAACCUAAGCAAUCGAAGUGGCUGAUUGCUCUUCAAUUCUGUUCAACAUUCUGUUUCAGAAAUGUAGGUUUUGAUUAGUGAUAAUAGACACUCGUAUUAUCUUAAAAACACUUCAUUUUGUCUGUUUAUGAAUUGAUCAUAGUACUUUCAUUAACAUGGCGUUUUCUUAGGAUAAUUACAUCUUCCAAUGUAUUCGAAUAGCAAAUGCAGGAUCUCUUGUUUCCACUCAUGCACUUUGUAUGGUAUUGUUCGGCUUGUUAGGAAUAAUCUCUCUUGAUUAUUUGAACAUUGGCCCGUUCGGCAGAAUUUUAGCUUUUACUUCUACAUCUUGUAGAAUAACUUUUCCAGAAAACUACCUUAAUACGAAAGCUUCGUUUUCCUGCAGAUUUUUAAAGGAAGCUCCACUGGAUCAAAUUCAUUUAAAAGCUCUUUUAAUUACGAGAAAUACUUUUAUAUAAAUAACCAACCGAUCAAAAGCAGCUUUUGAAGUUGAUAUAAUUUGAUUCAAUAUUGUAUUUAAUCUAGAUAUUGUUUUAUUUAAAUUUGUGUCUAGGCGAAAUUAAGUUACAACUUAUUUUUCAGAAAAUUAAGUUUCUUAAUUUUUAUCCUUACAAAUAGGACCUUCUCUGACAUUAAAAGUUGCACGUAGGUCCACUGUGGUUUUUCCAAUAUGAAUUAUUCCCUCGUUAGUAAGUGACUACUUCACCAGAUUGUAUUUUAGUAACCUUGGAGUUUUUCCCUUGAGAAAAAUAGGAACUGGUUUCCAAAACUAAUGAACCACUAAAUAUUUGCACAGCUAGGUGUACAUAAAUAUACAGAGUGAAAUUGAAACACACACAGACACUGAUCUCACAAGUUGUCAAACUAUCUUACACGCAUUACACAGAUUACAAGGGAUCCUCAUCCCAAACUCCAAAGGUACAAGAACAGUCAUAAAUUAAAGGCAGAUUCUCAUAGUUGUCAGAAAUAAC